This 116-nucleotide ribosomal RNA is filed under the name Luciogobius sp. 'hoso-mimizu-haze'. Its description in RNAcentral is "partial 16S ribosomal RNA". The record is from RNAcentral. Lineage: Eukaryota; Metazoa; Chordata; Actinopteri; Gobiiformes; Gobiidae.
ACACCCCUAACAGCUAGCCCCUCCCCCAAAACCAACAAACACCAUUAAUAAGCCCUAAUAAACAACACAAACAAAUAACAAACCAUUUUUCCUCCCAAGUAUGGGCGACAGAAAAG